Molecule: transfer RNA, 28 nt
Filed under: Ephedra tweediana
Lineage: Eukaryota; Viridiplantae; Streptophyta; Gnetopsida; Ephedrales; Ephedraceae
Also listed under: 9 other names
Description: partial tRNA-Thr
Source: RNAcentral
UUUUGCUUAGUUCAAAGAUUAGAGCAUC